This 253-nucleotide ribosomal RNA is filed under the name uncultured bacterium. RNAcentral's name for it is "partial 16S ribosomal RNA". It matches the Rfam family "Bacterial small subunit ribosomal RNA", at positions 524 to 776 of the family's 1533-position model. The record is from RNAcentral.
UACGUAGGGUGCGAGCGUUAAUCGGAAUUACUGGGCGUAAAGCGUGCGCAGGCGGUUCGUUAUGUCCGUUGUGAAAGCCCCGGGCUCAACCUGGGAAUGGCAAUGGAAACUGGCGGGCUAGAGUGUGGCAGAGGGGGGUGGAAUUCCGCGUGUAGCAGUGAAAUGCGUAGAGAUGCGGAGGAACACCGAUGGCGAAGGCAAUCCCCUGGACCUGUACUGACGCUCAUGCACGAAAGCGUGGGGAGCAAACAGG